GAUGAAGAACUUAGCGAAAUGCGAUACUUGGUGUGAAUUGCAGAAUCCCGUGAACCAUCGAGUCUUUGAACGCAAGUUGCGCCCGGAGCCAUUAGGCCGAGGGCACGCCUGCCUGGGCGUCACACGUCGUUGCCCCCCCAUCUACUCCUUCGGGAUUGCGGGGGGCGGAUGAUGGCCUCCCGUGCGCCUCGUCGCGCGGUUGGCAUAAAUGCCAAGUCCUCGGCGACGCACGCCACGACAAUCGGUGGUUGCGAAACCUCGGUUGCCCGUCGUGUGCGGUCGUCGCGCAUCGAGGGCUCGAAAAAAUUGCCGGGCUCCGGCUCGGCUUUCAACGCGACCCCAGGUCAGGCGGGGUUACCCGCUGAAUUUAAGCAUAUCAAUAAGCGGAGGA
RNAcentral lists this unclassified non-coding RNA (391 nucleotides) under soil metagenome. RNAcentral describes it as "partial contains 5.8S ribosomal RNA, internal transcribed spacer 2, and large subunit ribosomal RNA". The stretch from base 1 to 122 matches the Rfam family "5.8S ribosomal RNA", at positions 35 to 154 of the family's 154-position model. The record is from RNAcentral.